RNAcentral lists this ribosomal RNA (497 nucleotides) under uncultured bacterium. Its description in RNAcentral is "partial 16S ribosomal RNA". It matches the Rfam family "Bacterial small subunit ribosomal RNA", at positions 28 to 507 of the family's 1533-position model. The record is from RNAcentral.
GAUGAACGCUGGCGGCGUGCCUAAUACAUGCAAGUCGAGCGAACAGACGAGGAGCUUGCUCCUCUGACGUUAGCGGCGGACGGGUGAGUAACACGUGGAUAACCUACCUAUCAGACUGGGAUAACUUCGGGAAACCGGCGCUAAUACCGGAUAAUAUAUUUAACCGCAUGGUUCAAUAGUGAAAGACGGUUUUGCUGUCACUUAUAGAUGGAUCCGCGCCGCAUUAGCUAGUUGGUAAGGUAACGGCUUACCAAGGCAACGAUGCGUAGCCGACCUGAGAGGGGGAUCGGCCACACUGGAACUGAGACACGGUCCAGACUCCUACGGGAGGCAGCAGUAGGGAAUCUUCCGCAAUGGGCGAAAGCCGGACGGAGCAACGCCGCGUGAGUGAUGAAGGUCUUCGGAUCGUAAAACUCUGUUAUUAGGGAAGAACAAAUGUGUAAGUAACUAUGCACGUCUUGACGGUACCUAAUCAGAAAGCCACGGCUAACUACGUG